RNAcentral lists this ribosomal RNA (429 nucleotides) under Chloroflexota bacterium. RNAcentral describes it as "Chloroflexi bacterium partial 16S ribosomal RNA". It matches the Rfam family "Bacterial small subunit ribosomal RNA", at positions 355 to 776 of the family's 1533-position model. The record is from RNAcentral. Lineage: Bacteria; Bacillati; Chloroflexota.
UGGGGAAUAUUGCACAAUGGGCGCAAGCCUGAUGCAGCCAUGCCGCGUGUAUGAAGAAGGCCUUCGGGUUGUAAAGUACUUUCAGUCGGGAGGAAGGUGGUAAGGUUAAUAACCUUAUCAAUUGACGUUACCGACAGAAGAAGCACCGGCUAACUCCGUGCCAGCAGCCGCGGUAAUACGGAGGGUGCAAGCGCUAAUCGGAAUUACUGGGCGUAAAGCGCACGCAGGCGGUUGAUUGAGUCAGAUGUGAAAUCCCCGGGCUUAACCCGGGAAUUGCAUCUGAUACUGGUCAGCUAGAGUCUUGUAGAGGGGGGUAGAAUUCCAUGUGUAGCGGUGAAAUGCGUAGAAAUGUGGAGGAAUACCGGUGGCGAAGGCGGCCCCCUGGACAAAGACUGACGCUCAGGUGCGAAAGCGUGGGGAGCAAACAGG